ACCCGGAGUGAACAUGAGAAGUUACCAGCAUCAGGAAAUGAUGUGUCUCCUGAAUCUGCAGGCUCGCUUUUUAUAACCAUGUUAUUACCAAUGACAGCAUCAGGAUAAACUUGACCAUCUUUCUCUGUUAUUUUUGGUUCUUUCCCAUUCAAAUUUUUAGAAGGGCAACGAGUGUUUGCUUCCAUCUCCUUCAGUUCUAGCUUAUCUACUCUUGUUUCCUUCGCACUGGUACCAUUUUCAGCUGAUAUCAGAGAUGUGCUAGAGAUAAGACCCACAUGAUGGUCAUUUUCAUCUGUUUGGCCCAAAAGUGAAAUAUCG
Molecule: unclassified non-coding RNA, 318 nt
Filed under: Hevea brasiliensis (rubber tree)
Lineage: Eukaryota; Viridiplantae; Streptophyta; Magnoliopsida; Malpighiales; Euphorbiaceae
Source: RNAcentral